This 424-nucleotide ribosomal RNA is filed under the name uncultured bacterium. Its description in RNAcentral is "bacterial SSU rRNA". It matches the Rfam family "Bacterial small subunit ribosomal RNA", at positions 917 to 1344 of the family's 1533-position model. The record is from RNAcentral.
GGGCCCGCACAAGCGGUGGAGCAUGUGGUUUAAUUCGAUGAUACGCGAGGAACCUUACCAGGGCUUAAAUGUAGAUUGCAUUAGUCAGAGAUGAUUAUUUCUUCGGACUAUCUACAAGGUGCUGCAUGGUUGUCGUCAGCUCGUGCCGUGAGGUGUCAGGUUAAGUCCUAUAACGAGCGCAACCCCUAUCGUUAGUUGCCAUCAGGUCAUGCUGGGAACUCUAACGAGACUGCCGGUGCAAACCGUGAGGAAGGUGGGGAUGACGUCAAAUCAUCACGGCCCUUACGUCCUGGGCUACACACGUGCUACAAUGGUGGGGACAGAGAGCAGCCACUUCGCGAGGAGGAGCGAAUCUUCAAACCCCAUCACAGUUCGGAUCGCAGUCUGCAACUCGACUGCGUGAAGCUGGAAUCGCUAGUAAUCG